This 363-nucleotide RNase P RNA is filed under the name Lysobacteraceae bacterium. RNAcentral describes it as "RNase P RNA component class A". It matches the Rfam family "Bacterial RNase P class A". From Rfam's summary of the family: Ribonuclease P (RNase P) is a ubiquitous endoribonuclease, found in archaea, bacteria and eukarya as well as chloroplasts and mitochondria. Its best characterised activity is the generation of mature 5'-ends of tRNAs by cleaving the 5'-leader elements of precursor-tRNAs. Cellular RNase Ps are ribonucleoproteins. The record is from RNAcentral. Lineage: Bacteria; Pseudomonadati; Pseudomonadota; Gammaproteobacteria; Lysobacterales; Lysobacteraceae.
GGAGUCGGCCAGACAGCCGCGUCAUCCGCGAGGAUGCCGAGGAAAGUCCGGGCUCCACAGGGCAGGGUGCCAGGUAACGCCUGGGCGGCGCGAGCCGACGGAAAGUGCAACAGAAAGAUACCGCCGAUGGCCGGGCAUUUUUCGGAAUGUCGGGAUCAGGCAAGGGUGAAAUGGUGCGGUAAGAGCGCACCGCGAGUCCGGCAACGGACCGGCACGGCAAACCCCACCCGGAGCAAGACCGAAUAGGGGAGCAAUGGCGCGGCCCGCGUCGCUCCCGGGUUGGUUGCUAGAACGCCGCGGCGACGCGACGUCCAGAGGAAUGGCUGUCCACGACAGAACCCGGCUUACCGGCCGACUCCACUU